UUCCGGUUGAUCCCGCCGCCGGACACUGCUAUCAGGUUUCGGCUAAGCCAUGCGAGUCUAGGGAUCGCAAGAUACCGGCAUACUGCUCAGUAACACGCGGAUAAUCUGCCCCCAGGUGAAGAAUACCCUCGGGAAACUGAGGCUAAUACUUCAUAAUCACUAUAUGCUGGAAUGCUUUGGUGAUGAAAGAAUUUCGCCUGAGGAUGAGUCUGCGGCCUAUCAGGUCGUAUGUGGUGUAAUGGACCACAUAGCCUAAGACGGGUACGGGCCUUGAAAGAGGGAGCCCGGAGAUGGACUCUGAGACAUUAGUCCAGGCCCUACGGGGCGCAGCAGGCGCGAAAACUGUGCAAUGCGCGAAAGCGCGACACGGGAAGCCUGAGUGCCUUAACACAGUUAAGGCUUUUCUCAAGCCUAAAAAGCUUGAGGAAUAAGAGCUGGGUAAGACGGGUGCCAGCCGCCGCGGUAACACCCGCAGCUCGAGUGGUGGUCACUUUUAUUGAGCCUAAAGCGUUUGUAGCCGGAUCCGUAAAUCUCCAGGCAAAUUCCUUCGCUUAACGAAGGAUCUUCUGGAGAGACUGCGGAUCUAGGGACCGGGUGAGGUUGAAUGUACUUCUGGGGUAGGGGUAAAAUCCUGUAAUCCUGGAAGGACGACCGGUGGCGAAGGCGUUCAACUGGAACGGAUCCGACGGUGAGGAACGAGGGCUAGGGGAGCAAACCGGAUUAGAUACCCGGGUAGUCCUAGCUGUAAACACUGCCCACUUGAUGUUGCAUCUCCGUGUAGGGGGUGUAGUGUCGUAGCGAAGGUGUUAAGUGGGCCGCUUGGGGAGUAUGGUCGCAAGGCUGAAACUUAAAGGAAUUGGCGGGGGAGCACCACAACGGGAGGAGCGUGCGGUUUAAUUGGAUUCAACGCCGGGA
RNAcentral lists this ribosomal RNA (915 nucleotides) under uncultured archaeon. RNAcentral's name for it is "bacterial SSU rRNA". It matches the Rfam family "Archaeal small subunit ribosomal RNA", at positions 1 to 923 of the family's 1478-position model. The record is from RNAcentral.